This 519-nucleotide ribosomal RNA is filed under the name uncultured bacterium. Its description in RNAcentral is "bacterial SSU rRNA". It matches the Rfam family "Bacterial small subunit ribosomal RNA", at positions 8 to 526 of the family's 1533-position model. The record is from RNAcentral.
AGGGUUCGAUUAUGGCUCAGGAUAAACGCUAGCGGCAGGCCUUACACAUGCAAGUCGAGGGGUAGAAUGUCUUCGGAUAUUUGAGACCGGCGCACGGGUGCGUAACACGUAUGCAACCUGCCUUUUACUGGGGAAUAGCCCGAAGAAAUUCGGAUUAAUGCCCCAUAUGCUCGCACAAUCGCAUGAUUGAGCGAGGAAAGCUCCGGCGGUAAAAGAUGGGCAUGCGUCCUAUUAGCUUGUUGGUGAGGUAAUGGCUCACCAAGGCUACGAUAGGUAGGGGACCUGAGAGGGUGAACCCCCACACUGGUACUGAGACACGGACCAGACUCCUACGGGAGGCAGCAGUGAGGAAUAUUGGGCAAUGGAGGAAACUCUGACCCAGCCAUGCCGCGUGCAGGAAGACGGCCCUCUGGGUUGUAAACUGCUUUUAUAUGGGAAUAAACCCUUCCACGUGUGGAAGGCUGAAGGUACCAUAAGAAUAAGGAUCGGCUAACUCCGUGCCAGCCGCCGCGGUAAUAC